This 86-nucleotide ribosomal RNA is filed under the name Macleaya cordata. Its description in RNAcentral is "partial 5.8S ribosomal RNA". It matches the Rfam family "5.8S ribosomal RNA", at positions 73 to 154 of the family's 154-position model. Rfam says of the family: 5.8S ribosomal RNA (5.8S rRNA) is a component of the large subunit of the eukaryotic ribosome. It is transcribed by RNA polymerase I as part of the 45S precursor that also contains 18S and 28S rRNA. Functionally, it is thought that 5.8S rRNA may be involved in ribosome translocation. The record is from RNAcentral. Lineage: Eukaryota; Viridiplantae; Streptophyta; Magnoliopsida; Ranunculales; Papaveraceae.
UGCAGAAUCCCAUGAACCAUCGAGUUUUUGAACGCAAUUGCGCCCUAGGCCACCAGGCCAAGGGCACACCUGCCUGGGCAUCACGU